RNAcentral lists this ribosomal RNA (213 nucleotides) under Pichia kudriavzevii. RNAcentral describes it as "partial 26S ribosomal RNA". It matches the Rfam family "Eukaryotic large subunit ribosomal RNA", at positions 64 to 282 of the family's 3401-position model. Lineage: Eukaryota; Fungi; Ascomycota; Pichiomycetes; Pichiales; Pichiaceae. The record is from RNAcentral.
GCUCAGGGGAUGCCCUCAGUAGCGGCGAGUGAAGCGGCAAGAGCUCAGAUUUGAAAUCGUGCUUUGCGGCACGAGUUGUAGAUUGCAGGUUGGAGUCUGUGUGGAAGGCGGUGUCCAAGUCCCUUGGAACAGGGCGCCCAGGAGGGUGAGAGCCCCGUGGGAUGCCGGCGGAAGCAGUGAGGCCCUUCUGACGAGUCGAGUUGUUUGGGAAUA